This 2266-nucleotide long non-coding RNA is filed under the name Numida meleagris (helmeted guineafowl). RNAcentral's name for it is "lncRNA (ENSNMEG00000008562.1)". Lineage: Eukaryota; Metazoa; Chordata; Aves; Galliformes; Numididae. The record is from RNAcentral.
GAUUGUUUGGCCCUUAUUAUCAGCAACUUUCAUCCUGGCCAGUGAGUAAAUGGAAAGCAGUGUAUAAACAUGCUAUGAAUAAUGAGGAGCAGCAAUGAGUAAAAAAUGCUAAGUAUUGUUAAAAAGAUAGAAAUUCCUUUUCAAGCACAUCUGUAGAAAGAUUGUUACACUCUUCAGGUUUGAUAGGUUCAGCCUUGUGCAGUGGUAUGCCAGCAAAUUGCAGCGUUCUUGUCGUUGUUGCCCUUUACAUAGGCAUAACUUUGAUCAGGAGAGAAAAUGAAGGAGAUUUAUUUUGUUCAAAAAAUUGGGAGUUUGAAAUUUUCCAUUCUGAACAAAGUGAAAAGAAAAGCAGCUUACUUAGAAAAGAGAACAUAGAUAACACUACAAAUGUCUCCAGCUGAGAACAAUAUCCUGGAAUAUACUCUGGAGAAAAAUCAGCUGAGUGUAAUAGAAACACAAAUAAGUCAGCCUGUGCUUCUCAUAGCUCAGACAACUCCUUAGGCAACCAAAUUUCUGAGUAUUUUUCUCUCAAGAGUAGUGAUCCUGUUUUAUGUAUUUAGUUAAGUAUUCAUCAGUCUGAAAGCAGAGGUAAGAGAUCCUCUACAUCUCAGAGGUACGUGUUGGAUCUUCACUGACUAAAGCACACAGAGCAGGGAAUGGAAGAUUUUUCCCAUGAGCUCAGAGGGUUAUCAUCAGUGACGCUGAGUCCAGUUGGAGGACUGUGCGGGGCACUGAGGGUGAGAGAACGUAUGACAGCAAAACACAGAAAGAGAAGAAGACACAGCAUGUCAUUUUACAGUGGGAUUGUUAGUUGUAAGGGUUACUGGCCUCUCAUUUUGCGGAGAGCACAAGAACAGAGUUAUGGCAAGAGGCACAUUACCAGGUCUCUGAUGAGAUCAGCCAUGGACAUGGUGGGUGACCAGGAAGUCCCUUGAUCACAGAACACAUGGGUGAGUACCACACUUGGAGAGAUUCUGCUUCUUUUUUUCUGGUUCAGAGGUGUGAAGCUGGAGCAAAAUUUCCAGUUAGUGUAUUAGAUGGACUUUUCAUCCAGAGGGGUGAAACAUGGUGGUGUCACCUCUCUGGUUGCCUACAUACCAACAAAGCUGUAGUACGCGUGACUUCAGGAUUCUGUGCUUUGUACAGUCUGGAACAUCUCUACAGCUGGAAAAGCAGAAUGUGCUUGGUUUACCAGGCACACUUAAUAUGAUUUCACCUUGGGAUCUGUCAGUUUCUUUGUUCUUUUUUUUUUCUUCCAUUUAAUGGAAAGUGAGGCCUUGAGUGAAUAAUAGGAUCUUGCAAGGUGGUUAGUUGGGUGUUUAGAGCACAAUAGCCAAAGUAGGUUGCAGGAUUAGGCUCUGCUCUGUGCUGCAGCCUGACCUGGCCAUGAGCAACCAUCUUCAGUGCUGAGAUGUUCAUAGAUAAUGAAUUAAAAAGCAUGCAAGACAUUCUCUGGCCAGUUGCCUCUGAGGAGCUUGUCAGUCAACUUGUUGCUAUUUUCCAAAGUGAAAUAAGGUCCCCAUCAAAGAGUGCUUCCAAAUACCCUGCUCCAUUAGACAUUGCUUGAUGAUGCUCAGGGAACACACUCACAUACACUACUUCAAGAGCUGUUUGAAAGGAGAUGGAGUGCUAACUUCAAUGAACAAUUUACUGAAGUAAAACUUGUGGGAGAUCAUGUAUUUUUAUUUAUAUCUAAUAAGCCUGCUACACUCAGUCCUGCUAUUUGGCCAGCACAUAGAGGAAUACUUGUUCUACCAAAAUAUUAAAAUGGUUUUCUUCCAGUAUUUUUGUUGAGGAAUGCACAGCAGAAUACCCAGAAUUUGCAUGAAAUUUAGUAUUUGUAGAGACUUUGGUAGUGACUCAGACAACCCUGCCUAGUUCCUUCUUCCAUUCUUUCAUACUGCCUGUCCUACUAAAUUAAUUAAAAAAAUUGGGGAGCCCUCCAGUGGCUAAAAUUAUAGAGCCUAAAUUCACCAGUGUCUUAAAGAGGUACCUAAAUAUUCCAUGGUGCCUUAAGACUUUGCAGAAGUUCUUAAAAUUUAAAAGCAGAAUUUUGCAAAUUGUUACCUUUUUACAGAAGAGACAAUUUUUAAAAGGUCAUUCCAGCUACGUACACAUGGAGGCACUUGAGUGUUUUCAGAAAACACCCCUAAAUGCAGCAUAAAAAUUAUCAACUUCUAGUUCUUAGACAUCUACUUUCAUACUUAAACUCUGGGAAUUCUAGCAUGUUCUGCAUUUGGUAAUAAAAUUGUUCUCUCACUCUACA